GGUCAGGUAGCCUAGUGGUUAAGGCAGUCCCUGCAGGUUAGGCCCAGAUCCAUUGGAUCUGGUCACUGGUUCAAAUCCAGCCCUGACCA
This 89-nucleotide transfer RNA is filed under the name Endocronartium harknessii PhW48OC. Its description in RNAcentral is "tRNA-Leu (CAG) (tRNA-Leu-CAG-1-1)". It matches the Rfam family "tRNA". Rfam says of the family: Transfer RNA (tRNA) molecules are approximately 80 nucleotides in length. Lineage: Eukaryota; Fungi; Basidiomycota; Pucciniomycetes; Pucciniales; Coleosporiaceae. The record is from RNAcentral. RNAcentral also lists the same sequence under 1 other name.